CAAGAGCGUAUAUUGAAGUUGCUGCGGUCAAAAAGCUCGUAGUUGGAUUUCAGUCUAGGAAGGUUAACUCGCCGAAAGGUUGUACGUUGAUUUUCCUCAGACUUCGUCAGAAGCUCGUGCUGCACUUAACUGUGUGGUACGAUGUUCUGACCUUUUACCUUGAGGAAAGUAGAGUGUUUCAGGCAGGCUACCCAGCUUGAAUACAUUAGCAUGGAAUAAUGAAAUGGAUCUCGGUUCGAUUUCGUUGGUUCUAGAGCUGAGGUGAUGAUCAAUAGGAACAGGCGAAGGUAUUCGUACUUGAGAGUGAGGAGUGAAAUCCGAUGAUCUCUUAAAGACGAUCCGAGGCGAAAGCAUUUGUCAAGGAUGUUUUCAUUGA
Molecule: ribosomal RNA, 376 nt
Filed under: uncultured eukaryote
Lineage: Eukaryota
Description: partial 18S ribosomal RNA
Rfam family: Eukaryotic small subunit ribosomal RNA
Source: RNAcentral